RNAcentral lists this ribosomal RNA (484 nucleotides) under Leiophasma flaviceps. RNAcentral describes it as "partial large subunit ribosomal RNA". It matches the Rfam family "Bacterial large subunit ribosomal RNA", at positions 1917 to 2615 of the family's 2925-position model. Lineage: Eukaryota; Metazoa; Arthropoda; Insecta; Phasmatodea; Anisacanthidae. The record is from RNAcentral.
UAUUUAUUUAAUGGCCGCGGUAUUUUGACCGUGCAAAGGUAGCAUAAUCAUUAGUCUAUUAAUUGUGGACUUGUAUGAAUGGUUGGACGUAAUAUUUACUGUCUCAUUAUUAUUAAUUGAAAUUAAAAUUUAAGUUAAAAUGCUUAAAUUUUUUUAAAGGACGAGAAGACCCUAUAGAUCUUUAUUUUAUUUAUUAUUUAUUCUUUUUGUUUUUAUUUUAUGGAUUUUAUAUAAUUUUUUGUUGGGGUGACAUGGAGAUAAAUUAUAACUCUUUAUUAUUUUUUUCAUUGAUUUUUGUUUAAUUGACCUUAUAUUAUUGUUACAAGAUAUAGAUACCUUAGGGAUAACAGCGUAAUUCUUUUUGAGAGUUCAUAUUGACAAAAGAGAUUGCGACCUCGAUGUUGGAUUAAGAUUAUAAUUAGGUGUAGCUGCUUAAUUAUUAGGUCUGUUCGACCUUUAAUUUCUUACAUGAUCUGAGUUCAAA